GCCUCAGUAGCUCAGUUGGCUAGAGCAUCUGUUUUGUAAACAGAGGGUCGGGGGUUCAAAUCCCUCCUGAGGCU
Molecule: transfer RNA, 74 nt
Filed under: Candidatus Pacearchaeota archaeon CG06_land_8_20_14_3_00_35_12
Lineage: Archaea; Nanobdellati
Description: tRNA-Thr
Rfam family: tRNA
About the family: Transfer RNA (tRNA) molecules are approximately 80 nucleotides in length. Their secondary structure includes four short double-helical elements and three loops (D, anti-codon, and T loops).
Source: RNAcentral